CCCAGACUCCUACGGGAGGCAGCAGUGGGGAAUAUUGGGCAAUGGGCGCAAGCCUGACCCAGCAACGCCGCGUGAAGGAAGAAGGCUUUCGGGUUGUAAACUUCUUUUAAGAGGGAAGAGCAGAAGACGGUACCUCUUGAAUAAGCCACGGCUAACUCCGUGCCAGCAGCCGCGGUAAUACGGAGGAUGCGAGCGUUAUCCGGAUUUAUUGGGUUUAAAGGGUGCGUAGGCGGUCCGUUAAGUCAGCGGUAAAAUUGCGGGGCUCAACCCCGUCGAGCCGUUGAAACUGGCAGACUUGAGUUGGCGAGAAGUACGCGGAAUGCGCGGUGUAGCGGUGAAAUGCAUAGAUAUCACGCAGAACUCCGAUUGCGAAGGCAGCAUACCGGCGCCCAACUGACGCUGAAGCACGAAAGCGUGGGUAUCGAACAGGAUUAGAUACCCCCGUAAU
Molecule: ribosomal RNA, 448 nt
Filed under: uncultured bacterium
Lineage: Bacteria
Description: bacterial SSU rRNA
Rfam family: Bacterial small subunit ribosomal RNA
Source: RNAcentral